AGUCAUUAUCUUCCCCCUCCCACAACGGAACCCUAAAGAUUCUUACGUCUUAGAAUUCAGAUCUAAUACAUGGCAAUAGAACGCACAUCCUUCCAACGUCCAUGCUCUAUCCACCAGGCCAUGCUGCUUCUUAUCCCGAGAACAGUUGUACGGGAGCCUGCGAAUCCAAGAACUCACCCACCCGCUGCCUCUUCGGCUCUCCCACCUGCCAGAGGAGGAUGCACGCAGGUUCUACCGCUUCGGGCUUUGCCCUGCCACGUAGCAGCAAAACAUUGCGAGAACUCGAAAGAUUUAAGGGGAGCCAACAAAACUGACGCGGAGUCGUUCCAUCAACAGACUAACGCACGAGAGAAUUUCCGCUACAAAAACCGAAAGCCGACAUUAUCCAAUGGCUUUUCAAUGGACCGGAUAUGAAAUAAAUGAGUAUCAAAACCUAA
Ornithorhynchus anatinus (platypus) is the source of this 437-nucleotide long non-coding RNA. RefSeq lists it as uncharacterized. The transcript has 2 exons. The record is from RefSeq and is a predicted model, not a curated record. NCBI's taxonomy places the organism in Eukaryota, Metazoa, Chordata, Mammalia, Monotremata, Ornithorhynchidae.